Molecule: ribosomal RNA, 529 nt
Filed under: uncultured Klebsiella sp.
Lineage: Bacteria; Pseudomonadati; Pseudomonadota; Gammaproteobacteria; Enterobacterales; Enterobacteriaceae
Description: bacterial SSU rRNA
Rfam family: Bacterial small subunit ribosomal RNA
Source: RNAcentral
ACUCAAAUGAAUUGACGGGGGCCCGCACAAGCGGUGGAGCAUGUGGUUUAAUUCGAUGCAACGCGAAGAACCUUACCUGGUCUUGACAUCCACAGAACUUUCCAGAGAUGGAUUGGUGCCUUCGGCCACUGUGAGACAGGUGCUGCAUGGCUGUCGUCAGCUCGUGUUGUGAAAUGUUGGGUUAAGUCCCGCAACGAGCGCAACCCUUAUCCUUUGUUGCCAGCGGUUAGGCCGGGAACUCAAAGGAGACUGCCAGUGAUAAACUGGAGGAAAGUGGGGAUGACGUCAAGUCAUCAUGGUCCUUACGACCAGGGCUACACACGUGCUACAAUGGCAUAUACAAAGAGAAGCGACCUCGCGAGAGCAAGCGGACCUCAUAAAGUAUGUCGUAGUCCGGAUUGGAGUCUGCAACUCGACUCCAUGAAGUCGGAAUCGCUAGUAAUCGUAGAUCAGAAUGCUACGGUGAAUACGUUCCCGGGCCUUGUACACACCGCCCGUCACACCAUGGGAGUGGGUUCAAUAAGAAGUA